This 328-nucleotide ribosomal RNA is filed under the name uncultured eukaryote. RNAcentral describes it as "partial 18S ribosomal RNA". It matches the Rfam family "Eukaryotic small subunit ribosomal RNA", at positions 1470 to 1796 of the family's 1831-position model. The record is from RNAcentral.
CCCUUAGAUGUUCUGGGCCGCACGCGCGCUACACUGAUGCAUUCAACGAGUCUACAACCUGGUCUGAUAGGGCUGGGUAAUCUUUUGAAUGUGCAUCGUGAUUGGGAUAGAUGAUUGCAAUUCUUCAUCUUCAACGAGGAAUGCCUAGUAAACGCAAGUCAUCAGCUUGCGUCGAUUACGUCCCUGCCCUUUGUACACACCGCCCGUCGCUCCUACCGAUUGGGUGUGCUGGUGAAAUGUUCGGAUCGGCCGUUUGUCGCGGUUUCCGCGGCUCGUGGCUGAGAAGUUCAUUAAACCCUCCCACCUAGAGGAAGGAGAAGUCGUAACA